GCUUGCUUCGGCAGCACAUACUAAAAUUGGCAUGAUAAAGAAAAGAUAACAAUGGUUCUGAGUAAGGAUGACAUGCAAAGUUGUGUAGUGUUCCAUAUUUUU
Molecule: small nuclear RNA, 102 nt
Organism: Rana temporaria (common frog)
Lineage: Eukaryota; Metazoa; Chordata; Amphibia; Anura; Ranidae
Source: RefSeq, a predicted model, not a curated record